CCCCUUCGGGGGUACUCGAGUGGCGAACGGGUGAGUAACACGUGGGUAAUCUGCCCUGCACUUCGGGAUAAGCCUGGGAAACUGGGUCUAAUACCGGAUAGGACCUCGAGGCGCAUGCCUUGUGGUGGAAAGCUUUUGCGGUGUGGGAUGGGCCCGCGGCCUAUCAGCUUGUUGGUGGGGUGACGGCCUACCAAGGCGACGACGGGUAGCCGGCCUGAGAGGGUGUCCGGCCACACUGGGACUGAGAUACGGCCCAGACUCCUACGGGAGGCAGCAGUGGGGAAUAUUGCACAAUGGGCGCAAGCCUGAUGCAGCGACGCCGCGUGGGGGAUGACGGCCUUCGGGUUGUAAACCUCUUUCAGCAGGGACGAAGCGCAAGUGACGGUACCUGCAGAAGAAGCACCGGCCAACUACGUGCCAGCAGCCGCGGUAAUACGUAGGGUGCGAGCGUUGUCCGGAAUUACUGGGCGUAAAGAGCUCGUAGGUGGUUUGUCGCGUUGUUCGUGAAAUCUCACGGCUUAACUGUGAGCGUGCGGGCGAUACGGGCAGACUGGAGUACUGCAGGGGAGACUGGAAUUCCUGGUGUAGCGGUGGAAUGCGCAGAUAUCAGGAGGAACACCGGUGGCGAAGGCGGGUCUCUGGGCAGUAACUGACGCUGAGGAGCGAAAGCGUGGGGAGCGAACAGGAUUAGAUACCCUGGUAGUCCACGCCGUAAACGGUGGGUACUAGGUGUGGGUUUCCUUCCUUGGGAUCCGUGCCGUAGCUAACGCAUUAAGUACCCCGCCUGGGGAGUACGGCCGCAAGGCUAAAACUCAAAGGAAUUGACGGGGGCCCGCACAAGCGGCGGAGCAUGUGGAUUAAUUCGAUGCAACGCGAAGAACCUUACCUGGGUUUGACAUGCACAGGACGCCGGCAGAGAUGUCGGUUCCCUUGUGGCCUGUGUGCAGGUGGUGCAUGGCUGUCGUCAGCUCGUGUCGUGAGAUGUUGGGUUAAGUCCCGCAACGAGCGCAACCCUUGUCUCAUGUUGCCAGCGCGUAAUGGCGGGGACUCGUGAGAGACUGCCGGGGUCAACUCGGAGGAAGGUGGGGAUGACGUCAAGUCAUCAUGCCCCUUAUGUCCAGGGCUUCACACAUGCUACAAUGGCCGGUACAAAGGGCUGCGAUGCCGCAAGGUUAAGCGAAUCCUUUUAAAGCCGGUCUCAGUUCGGAUCGGGGUCUGCAACUCGACCCCGUGAAGUCGGAGUCGCUAGUAAUCGCAGAUCAGCAACGCUGCGGUGAAUACGUUCCCGGGCCUUGUACACACCGCCCGUCACGUCAUGAAAGUCGGUAACACCCGAAGCCAGUGGCCUAACCCUUUGGGAGGGAGCUGUCGAAGGUGGGAUCGGCGAUUGGGACGAAGUCGUAACAAGGUAGCCG
RNAcentral lists this ribosomal RNA (1415 nucleotides) under Mycobacterium sp. Its description in RNAcentral is "bacterial SSU rRNA". It matches the Rfam family "Bacterial small subunit ribosomal RNA". The record is from RNAcentral. Lineage: Bacteria; Bacillati; Actinomycetota; Actinomycetes; Mycobacteriales; Mycobacteriaceae.